Molecule: ribosomal RNA, 232 nt
Filed under: uncultured bacterium
Lineage: Bacteria
Also listed under: 1 other name
Description: partial 16S ribosomal RNA
Rfam family: Bacterial small subunit ribosomal RNA
Source: RNAcentral
GGGACGGGUGAGUAAUGUCUGGGAAACUGCCUGAUGGAGGGGGAUAACUACUGGAAACGGUAGCUAAUACCGCAUAACGUCGCAAGACCAAAGAGGGGGACCUUCGGGCCUCUUGCCAUCGGAUGUGCCCAGAUGGGAUUAGCUAGUAGGUGGGGUAACGGCUCACCUAGGCGACGAUCCCUAGCUGGUCUGAGAGGAUGACCAGCCACACUGGAACUGAGACACGGUCCAG